UCGAACGAUGAAGCCCUUCGGGGUGGAUUAGUGGCGAACGGGUGAGUAACACGUGGGCAAUCUGCCCUUCACUCUGGGACAAGCCCUGGAAACGGGGUCUAAUACCGGAUACCACUCCUGCCUGCAUGGGCGGGGGUUGAAAGCUCCGGCGGUGAAGGAUGAGCCCGCGGCCUAUCAGCUUGUUGGUGGGGUAAUGGCCCACCAAGGCGACGACGGGUAGCCGGCCUGAGAGGGCGACCGGCCACACUGGGACUGAGACACGGCCCAGACUCCUACGGGAGGCAGCAGUGGGGAAUAUUGCACAAUGGGCGAAAGCCUGAUGCAGCGACGCCGCGUGAGGGAUGACGGCCUUCGGGUUGUAAACCUCUUUCAGCAGGGAAGAAGCGAAAGUGACGGUACCUGCAGAAGAAGCGCCGGCUAACUACGUGCCAGCAGCCGCGGUAAUACGUAGGGCGCAAGCGUUGUCCGGAAUUAUUGGGCGUAAAGAGCUCGUAGGCGGCUUGUCACGUCGGAUGUGAAAGCCCGAGGCUUAACCUCGGGUCUGCAUUCGAUACGGGCUAGCUAGAGUGUGGUAGGGGAGAUCGGAAUUCCUGGUGUAGCGGUGAAAUGCGCAGAUAUCAGGAGGAACACCGGUGGCGAAGGCGGAUCUCUGGGCCAUUACUGACGCUGAGGAGCGAAAGCGUGGGGAGC
This 690-nucleotide ribosomal RNA is filed under the name Streptomyces sp. G-42-15. RNAcentral describes it as "bacterial SSU rRNA". It matches the Rfam family "Bacterial small subunit ribosomal RNA", at positions 62 to 769 of the family's 1533-position model. Lineage: Bacteria; Bacillati; Actinomycetota; Actinomycetes; Kitasatosporales; Streptomycetaceae. The record is from RNAcentral.